AGCAGUAUGGUGUAAUUCUACACACGGGGCUCCCUUAUCUUGUUUGAUCAGGUCAAAUCCCGAGGUCCUUGUUCGAAUCAAGGUGCUGCUA
This is a non-coding RNA of Mycena metata, 91 nucleotides long. NCBI's taxonomy places the organism in Eukaryota, Fungi, Basidiomycota, Agaricomycetes, Agaricales, Mycenaceae. The record is from the annotation of a GenBank genome assembly.